GAGAGAUGGCUGAGUGGUUGAAAGCUCCGGUCUUGAAAACCGGCAUAGUCCUCAGGAUUAUCGAGGGUUCGAAUCCCUCUCUCUCCU
This 87-nucleotide transfer RNA is filed under the name Simmondsia chinensis (jojoba). RNAcentral's name for it is "tRNA-Ser". It matches the Rfam family "tRNA". Rfam says of the family: Transfer RNA (tRNA) molecules are approximately 80 nucleotides in length. Their secondary structure includes four short double-helical elements and three loops (D, anti-codon, and T loops). Further hydrogen bonds mediate the characteristic L-shaped molecular structure. tRNAs have two regions of fundamental functional importance: the anti-codon, which is responsible for specific mRNA codon recognition, and the 3' end, to which the tRNAs corresponding amino acid is attached (by aminoacyl-tRNA synthetases). tRNAs cope with the degeneracy of the genetic code in two manners: having more than one tRNA (with a specific anti-codon) for a particular amino acid; and 'wobble' base-pairing, i.e. permitting non-standard base-pairing at the 3rd anti-codon position. Lineage: Eukaryota; Viridiplantae; Streptophyta; Magnoliopsida; Caryophyllales; Simmondsiaceae. The record is from RNAcentral.